UGAUAAAGGCGUAAGAACAUGAUUUAGACCAUUGUUUCGCAAUGAAUAUCAGUUGAUGCAACCGUUAUAUUGUACUUGUUUGUUAAACUAUCAAGGUCUCCCAAGUAUCAAAUGAUUAGUAUGCAUAGGUACGAUGUCACAACAUACUUCAUCAUGAUAUUCUCCGAUGGAGAACGACACUAUGACCCGUUCGGUAACUUGAACUUCGCCACAAUCAUUCAACCAUUGUAACCGGUAGGGAUUUGGAUAUUUGGUGCAUGUCAACC
This 266-nucleotide long non-coding RNA is filed under the name Carica papaya (papaya). Its description in RNAcentral is "long non-coding RNA (CPAP_LNC009807)". The record is from RNAcentral. Lineage: Eukaryota; Viridiplantae; Streptophyta; Magnoliopsida; Brassicales; Caricaceae.